GAUGAACGCUGGCGGCGUGCCUAAUACAUGCAAGUCGAGCGAACAGACGUGGUGCUUGCUCCUCUUACGUUAUCGGCGGAUGGCUGAGUAAUACGUGGAUAACCUAUCUUUAAGACUGGGAUAACUUCUGGAAACCGGAGCUAAUAUCUGAUAAUAUAUUGAACCGCAUGGUUCAAUAUUUAAUGACGGUUUUUCUUUCACUUAUAGAUGGUUCCGCGCCGCAUUAGCUAGUUGGUAAGGUAACGGCUUACCAAGGCAACGAUGCGUAGUCGACCUGAGAGGGUGAUCGGCCACACUGGAACUGAGACAGGGACCAGACUCCGACGGGAGGCAGCAGUAGGAAAUCUUCCGAAAUGGGCAAAAGCUUGACGGAGAAACGCCGCGUGAGUGAUGAAGGUCUUCGGAUCGUAAAACUAUGUUAUUAGGGAAGAACAAAUGGGUAAGUAACUAUACACGUCUUGACGGUACCUAAACAAAAAGCAACGGCUAACUACGUG
RNAcentral lists this ribosomal RNA (497 nucleotides) under uncultured bacterium. RNAcentral's name for it is "partial 16S ribosomal RNA". It matches the Rfam family "Bacterial small subunit ribosomal RNA", at positions 28 to 507 of the family's 1533-position model. The record is from RNAcentral.